Molecule: unclassified non-coding RNA, 2190 nt
Filed under: Sipha flava (yellow sugarcane aphid)
Lineage: Eukaryota; Metazoa; Arthropoda; Insecta; Hemiptera; Aphididae
Description: trimethylguanosine synthase-like, transcript variant X1
Source: RNAcentral
ACAUUAGUAUUACAUGGAGAAAGAAUAACAUUUUAUUUAUAAUUAUUUAACUAAUAAAUUUGAUUUCAAGUUGUGUAUUUUUUCUGCACUGGCCAUUUACGAUAUGGAUUACGUAACCUAAUUUAAACAUAACCCGGCAAAUAUAUUGCAACUUUAUUGUAACUGUUGAACAAAUUAUUACGAUAACAUUCGACAUUGCCUUGCUUAACAGCAGAGGUAUAUUUAGUGUAAACUUAUCAAAACCAUCAACAAUAUCAAUUCAUCUCAAGAAAAUGGGAUUGACUAUCAGGUAAACGGAUCUACACGACAGUACCGUCAGGCAAUAAUGCACCGCGAACGGGUAACAACGACGUUUCUGCUCCGUCGAGAAGUGUUCGCGUCCGACAUUCGAUCGAUAGAGCAUCCGCACUUGAAAUGCAUGAUAUUUAUGUGUUUUUCAGUUCCGAUCGCCGUAGUGGUCCUACUCAGGAGGCGGACAGGAAUGACGAGCGAUUGCAGUUGAUUACCUUCUGUUUAAUCUGUAGAUGGCCACGGUUCCUUGUCUGGUUAACAGAGGAUCAAGCCCGUCGGGGUUUCGCGCAUCACGAUUGCUGCACGGGACCGGAAGAACGACCGAGACGGCCCUCUGGUUCGCGAUGACGUCGGUGGUCGAACGGCUACCAGUCCCGUAUCCUUUGCGGAAUGCGGUUCACAAACGGACUUCGUCACUACUGUCAGCACACGAGUGGCCAAACGUGACUUCGCGUGCGGCGACUCCUGCACAACGUUCGUUGACACGUGCACGCAGACUUAACCGUCCGCCGGUGAAGUCGCGUCCGACGUCAUCGAAGUAACUAGCGAGCAGGCGCAUUCUGCACUGAUGUGCGAUGCGGUCGACUCGCUGACAAGUGUCCGCGUGAUGACAGAACAAGUCAGUACGUUUGGUGAUGAUGAAGACGAAAUCGUUCCUUACGUACUACCGAAAAUGAAAGAAAAUCGCGCCAAAGAAUUGAACGUCACUUAUAAACUGUGGGAAAAUCGGUUUGCACGAUUUUCGAAAUUCAAUGACGGCAUCAUGGCAGACCCAGCGACCCUUUACUCCGGUCCUCCAGAAGUUUUGGCAAAACUGAUGGCUUCCCGGUGUAAGUCGCUGGGUACUGUGAUAAACCCGUUUUGCGGUUCCGGUGCGAUCGCGAUCCAACUGGCCAUGGUCUGCCGCAAAGUCAUUGCGAUGGACAGUGACCCGGUCAAAAUCGCGUUCGCCCGGAACAAUGCUCAUGUGUAUGGGGUCGAAGAUCGAAUCGUCUUUCUGGUAGGUGACUUCUUUGUCGAUGCCCACUCGCUGCAGAGGACAGACGGCAUCGUCACGUCACCACCAGUGAACAUGACUAAAGAGGAAAUGGUGAAGUUAAUCAAAUUGGCAAGUAGGGUGGCACCGAAAGUCAUAAUGAGGUUAACGAAGGACCAUGAACUGUCAGAUCUGUACCAACUAGAGAAUAAAAUAUUUAAUAAAAUUAAUACAGAACAAAUAUGUAUUGACAGGGAGCCAAAUUCAAUUUUGGCUUUCCUAGGUCCCGGAAUGAAUACGAAUAAUUAUAAUAGAAACGUAAAUAGGAUACAAAAGAAAGUGCUUUUGUUUUCGGAUGGGGUAUCUGUUAAUCGUCGUGUGCAUUGGAUAAGAGGUAAUAAUCUUUUUGCAUACGACGAUUACCUCAAAAACAUUGAAGAAUUCCUGAAGAGCCAAAAUCUCAAAUGAUAUACGAUUCCUCAACACAAUCGGAAGAAUAUAAUACAAUUGAUAUCUGAUAAUACACAUACCAUAUAAUAUAUUUUGAAUUAGAACUUUGUAUUUAUUCUAUAUCCAUUGAGAGAUUAGAAACAUGGUUAGGUUGAUAACGGAUGUGUUAAAAUAAAAUGGAGAUCUACAAGUUCACUGUUUGUGUAAAAUAUUACAAAUGACUGGUUCGAAAUUAUCAUAAAUGUAUUUCUAGUUUAAUAUAGCUCGGUCAAAGCUUUUGCGCAUCUAUUAAUAUUAGAACGUGAUUCGUUUAGAGAAAGUUAAUCAACAACGUUAAUACAAUUAAAAUACACGAUAUGACAUGUAUUUCGACAAAUAGAUUCAUGAAGAUUCAAUAAAAUACAUCAAGAUGAUGAAGUUACUUCUAGCUCACCGAACAUGAAAUACAUAAUCAACGAUAUUGAAGAUGACUU